UGCGCGUUGGCGGAGGCGAUCGCACCGGCGGCCGGCGACAGCUGCAGGUUCGCCUGCGCGGCGGCCGCGGCCGUUGCGCCGGCCGCGAGCGUC
This 93-nucleotide transfer RNA is filed under the name Burkholderia seminalis. RNAcentral describes it as "tRNA-Ala". The record is from RNAcentral. Lineage: Bacteria; Pseudomonadati; Pseudomonadota; Betaproteobacteria; Burkholderiales; Burkholderiaceae.